This 460-nucleotide ribosomal RNA is filed under the name uncultured bacterium. RNAcentral describes it as "partial 16S ribosomal RNA". It matches the Rfam family "Bacterial small subunit ribosomal RNA", at positions 338 to 795 of the family's 1533-position model. The record is from RNAcentral.
CCUACGGGCGGCAGCAGUGAGGAAUAUUUGUCAAUGGACGCAAGUCUGAACCAGCCAUGCCGCGUGCAGGAUGACGGCUCUAUGAGUUGUAAACUGCGUUUUUACGAGGGUAAUAUCAUAUACGUGUAUCUGCUUGAAAGUAUCGUACUAAUAAGGAUCGGCUAACGCCGUGCCAUCAGCCGCGGUAAUACGGAGGAUCCCAGCGUUAUCCGGAUUUAUUGGGUUUAAAGGGUGCGUAUGCGUUUUUAUAAGUUAGAGGUGAAAAUUCGGGGCUCAACUCCGGACGUGCCUCUAAUACUGUAUGACUAGAGUAUAGAUGCGGUAGGCGGAAUGUAUGGUGUAGCGGUGAAAUGCGUAGAGAUCAUACAGAACACCGAUGGCGAAGGCAGCUUACCAAACUAUAUCUGACGUUGAGGCACGAAAGCGUGGGGAGCAAACAGGAUUAGAUACCCGAGUAGUC